UACGAAGGGGGCUAGCGUUGCUCGGAUUGACUGGGCGUAAAGGGCGCGUAGGCGGUUCGUACAGUCAGACGUGAAAUUCCUGGGCUCAACCUGGGGGCUGCGUUUGAUACGUGCGGACUUGAGUGCGGAAGGAGGGUCGUGGAAUUCCCAGUGUAGAGGUAGAAAUUCGUAGAUAUUGGGAAGAACACCGGUGGCGAAGGCGGCGACCUGGUCCGAUACUGACGCUGAGGCGCGAAAGCGUGGGGAGC
RNAcentral lists this ribosomal RNA (248 nucleotides) under uncultured bacterium. RNAcentral's name for it is "partial 16S ribosomal RNA". It matches the Rfam family "Bacterial small subunit ribosomal RNA", at positions 524 to 769 of the family's 1533-position model. The record is from RNAcentral.